This 404-nucleotide ribosomal RNA is filed under the name Brucella melitensis. RNAcentral's name for it is "partial 16S ribosomal RNA". It matches the Rfam family "Bacterial small subunit ribosomal RNA", at positions 355 to 776 of the family's 1533-position model. RNAcentral also lists the same sequence under 2 other names. Lineage: Bacteria; Pseudomonadati; Pseudomonadota; Alphaproteobacteria; Hyphomicrobiales; Brucellaceae. The record is from RNAcentral.
UGGGGAAUAUUGGACAAUGGGCGCAAGCCUGAUCCAGCCAUGCCGCGUGAGUGAUGAAGGCCCUAGGGUUGUAAAGCUCUUUCACCGGUGAAGAUAAUGACGGUAACCGGAGAAGAAGCCCCGGCUAACUUCGUGCCAGCAGCCGCGGUAAUACGAAGGGGGCUAGCGUUGUUCGGAUUUACUGGGCGUAAAGCGCACGUAGGCGGACUUUUAAGUCAGGGGUGAAAUCCCGGGGCUCAACCCCAGAACUGCCUUUGAUACUGGAAGUCUUGAGUAUGGUAGAGGUGAGUGGAAUUCCGAGUGUAGAGGUGAAAUUCGUAGAUAUUCGGAGGAACACCAGUGGCGAAGGCGGCUCACUGGACCAUUACUGACGCUGAGGUGCGAAAGCGUGGGGAGCAAACAGG